Molecule: long non-coding RNA, 1447 nt
Organism: Eufriesea mexicana
Lineage: Eukaryota; Metazoa; Arthropoda; Insecta; Hymenoptera; Apidae
Exons: 3
Source: RefSeq, a predicted model, not a curated record
UUAAAAUUAUAUAAAUAUGGAAAAUAAUUUCGAGAUGCAUAUGUUCGAAUACUUUCGUGAGCAACUGUACGUGCACAUUGUCGUACGUGGCACGAGGCACAUGCCAGGAACGUAGCUCCCGUUGGUGCACCUCCUAUAAGAGACUUGUUGAAGCGCCUUUUUUUAUUUAUUGACAGUCAUAUCGUACUUCGAAGGAUAGUUAAACUGAUUAGUUUUAACGUAUGUCUUCGCUUAUUGUGGCUCCAGGAGAAAGUCAUCUAAACGACCACGACCUAUUUAACAAUUGACUAGUGCAAAUUUAACAGCAGUUUUUAUGCCGUUUAAAACGAUAGAAAUUUCAAAGAAAUUUCAAGAAAUCCUGCGGAUUUCGGAAAGUCGAGCUCUUAAUAUCCGCUAAUAUCCUUUACCUCGACGAUAUUUCAAUGAAUUUGUUAAACUUCCAAAGCUGCAUUUCAUACGUAGCAAUGAAAGUAGUAAUUCUGAAAAACGAUAGUGUAUGUAGAGAGGAAAGAAUAAAAAAGUAUGAGGAAAAACGGAAAAAUUGUAACGGACUCGGGAAAACGGUACCCAUGUCCUUCAUAGAAACGAGUCUUCUACGAGUCCAUGGUUCUUUAGUGUGGAUCUCAAAGAAUCUUUGUCUCUCGAACACGUUAUCUCGAAAACAUCUCAAUUCACAGAGUAUCGUGCCAUCAACUUCCUUCUUGUGCAGUUGAUUUCUGACUCGCUAAUUGCAGUUCCAUGAACCUGCAAAAAAGAUUUUCUUCGAUUAUUUCGAUGAAAUCGAGUCAUUAAAUUUUACGUCGUUUCAUAAUGCAAUGUUAUACUUAGACUUUAUUUCGUUUUGGUCUUAGGAAUGUUCGACACAAAAUCCAAGGAUCACAGAGUUAUCUGUUUUCUCGUUAUCAAAUACUGACAUAUGCGGGGAGAUAAAACAUGUAAGGCUCGAUUAAAAGAAGUGCAUUAAUUCGAAUGAAAUUCAAAGUGACGCGAAGGGGUGGUGCACGAUAGCGGUCUGGAUGCUUCGAAAAAAGAAACUCGUUUGUUUCAUUAUUCGAAUUCAGUAAAAGUACUCACGUUGGCGCAAUUAACGAGCUCUGGCAAGAAUCUUCACUAGAAGAUCGUGUGCGUGCGUUUUUAUGCACACACGCGUAGGAUUCUUAUUCGUCGCUAUCACAUAGGGUAUCUUCGGUUAAGUGUCCACCAGUGUGUUCGAAUAGAAAUAUUUCUGAACAAUAUUGCUGACGAAUCUGUAAUGAUAUAUGUAUAUACGAAACUUUACAUCCAACAAACCUCUGUUUAAUACGGGUGAAAUGUAACGUAUAUAAUUUUAUAACCUCAAAUGUGUCAUUGACAUCCUACAAAAAAAAAGUAGAAUAAAAGAAAGAAAAUAAUUUAAAUGAUUAGUUUUUUGUCCUUACUGCGUAUUAUGAACGAUUUCUUUGUAUAA